GUCUAGAGCACAACGGACUGUUAGCUUACGAGGCCCAUCGAAUACAUUCCGAAGCUACUAGCUAGCAGUCAGCUAUCCUUUGCUAGCGGUCAUCAACUACCUUUAUCCCGGACAACUCUCGCCAGUCUGUACAGCGCGACUCAAACCAGAGCUAGUCGGACUUAUUCUUCUCCAUAUCUCCGGAUUCCUAUCGCAAGCUCUGAACCUAUUUUUUUAAAUUAUUAUUAUAUAUAUAUAUAUUUUUUUCCCACCUAGAAUUACAGCAGCUAACGUCCCCUGAACGCACAGCUGCUAAUCCGCGGCCUGCUAGCUAUCUAAAGCACAUUGAACUGCUGGCUUAAGAGGCCCUUCGGACAUAUUUCUUUGGCCACUAUACAUAUUUUGCCAAUUGGCCUGGUUUACCACACAGAGCCCUGCUGAUCCGUCCUCUGAUGUAACUGCACGAGGAGGCCACAACAGACUUUCCUCCGUCGCGUCGCCCCUCUAAGGCCUUUCUGUUAGCCUGCUAGCCCGCCGCUAGCUGCCUGAAGCCACGCACUGGACUCUUAUGAUCACCCGGCUACGCAUGCCUCUCCCUUACAUCACCAUGCCUUGUCCAUUGCUGUUUUGCUUUGUAACUAUUGUUUUAUUUCACUGUAGAGCCUCUAGCACUGCUCAAAACGCCUCAGCUAACAAUUUAGUUCCACCUCCCACACACGCAGUGACAUCACCUGGUUUAAAUGCUAUUUCUAGAGACAAUAUCUCUUUCAUUAUCACUAUAUGCACAGGUUUACCCCCACUGUAUUCACAUCCUACUAUACCUUUGUCUGUACAUUAUGCCUUGAAUAUAUUCUACCGUGCCCAGAAAUCUGCUCCUUUUACUCUCUGUUCUGAACGUGCUAGACGGCCAGUUCUGUUAGCCUUUAGCCGUACCCUUAUCCUACUCCUCCUCUGUUCCUCUGGUGAUGUAGAGGUUAAUCCAGGCCCUGCAGUGUCUAGCUCCACUCCCAUCCCCCAGGCUCUCUCAUUUGUUGACUUCUGCAACCGUAAAAGCCUUGGUUUCAUGCAUGUUAACAUUAGAAGCCUCCUCCCUAAGUUUGUUUUAUUCACUGCCGUAGCACACUCCACCAAUCCGGAUGUCCGAGCCAUGUCUGAAUCCUGGCUUAGGAAGACCACCAAAAACCUUGAAAUUUCCAUUCCUAACUAUAACAUUUUCCGACAAGAUAGAACUGCCAAAAGGGGCGGUGUUGCAAUCUACUGCAAAGAUAACCUGCAGAGUUCUGUCUUACUAUCCAGGUCUGUGCCCAAACAAUUUGAGCUCCUACUUCUCAUCCCGACAGUAGAGGAUGCCUGGUUGUUCUUUAAAAGUGCCUUCCUCACCAUCUUAAAUAAGCAUGCCCCAUUCAAAAAAUGUAGAACCAGGAAUAGAUAUAGCCCUUGGUUCACUCCAGACCUGUCUGCCCUUGACCAGCACAAAAACAUCCUGUGGCGUUCUGCAUUAGCAUCGAAUAGCCCCCGUGAUAUGCAACUUUUCAGGGAAGUUAGGAACCAAUAUACACAGGCAGUCAGAAAAGCUAAGGCUAGCUUUUUUAAACAGAAAUUUGCAUCCUGCAGUACAAACUCAAAAAAGUUCUGUGACACUGUAAAGUCCAUGGAGAAUAAGAGCACCUCCUCCCAGCUACCCACUGCUCUGAGGCUAGGAAACACUGUUACAACCGAUAAAUCCACUAUAAUUGAGAAUUUCAAUAAGCAUUUCUCUACAGCUGGCCAUGCUUUCCACCUGGCUACCCCUACCCCGGUCAACUGCCCGGCACCCUCCACAGCAACCCGCCCAAGC
This 1816-nucleotide long non-coding RNA is filed under the name Salmo trutta (river trout). Its description in RNAcentral is "lncRNA (ENSSTUG00000001222.1)". The record is from RNAcentral. Lineage: Eukaryota; Metazoa; Chordata; Actinopteri; Salmoniformes; Salmonidae.